RNAcentral lists this transfer RNA (63 nucleotides) under Glyphocrangon regalis. RNAcentral's name for it is "tRNA-Arg". The record is from RNAcentral. Lineage: Eukaryota; Metazoa; Arthropoda; Malacostraca; Decapoda; Glyphocrangonidae.
AAUUAAAAAGCAAAAAUUGCAUCUAGUUUCGGCCUAGACUUUGAUACAUUAUAUCUUUAAUUA